Molecule: ribosomal RNA, 200 nt
Filed under: uncultured prokaryote
Description: partial 16S ribosomal RNA
Rfam family: Bacterial small subunit ribosomal RNA
Source: RNAcentral
UACGAAGGGGGCUAGCGUUGUUCGGAAUUAUUGGGCGUAAAGGGCGCGUAGGCGGCCUGUUAAGUCGGUUGUGAAAGCCCGGGGCUCAACCCCGGAAAGUCGACCGAUACUGGCAGGCUAGAGUACGGAAGAGGUAGCUGGAAUUCCCGGUGUAGCGGUGAAAUGCGUAGAUAUCGGAAGGAACACCAGUGGCGAAAGCG